Molecule: non-coding RNA, 30 nt
Filed under: Mus musculus (house mouse)
Lineage: Eukaryota; Metazoa; Chordata; Mammalia; Rodentia; Muridae
Source: RNAcentral
UAAAAUAAGGUUAAUGUGACAAGAAUGUUA